Molecule: transfer RNA, 65 nt
Filed under: Cheiracanthium triviale
Lineage: Eukaryota; Metazoa; Arthropoda; Arachnida; Araneae; Cheiracanthiidae
Description: tRNA-Gln
Source: RNAcentral
ACUACGGGGGUGUAAAAAAGCACAUAAAAAUUUGAUUUUUAAAGAAAUGAAUUCAUUCAGUAGUA